Rattus norvegicus (Norway rat) is the source of this 483-nucleotide non-coding RNA. NCBI's taxonomy places the organism in Eukaryota, Metazoa, Chordata, Mammalia, Rodentia, Muridae. The record is from RefSeq and is a predicted model, not a curated record.
GGUGGGCGCUUGGACUUUUAUCCCCUUUUGACCAGAAAUAAAAUACACCGUGGCUCUCCUUCUCCUCUUGCUAGGUCACUUUCUUCUUGGAAAGCCAGUCGCCAUAUUGUGAGGAUGCUCAAGCAAGCCUGUGGAGAGGACCAAACCAUGAGGAACUGAGACCCCGCCCACAACCCCACCCCCGGAAAUAGCUCUGAAAGGCGCCAUCUUGUUGGGAAAGGGUAGCCUGCUGACCUCAGGGCUGACCCCUUGACGUCACUGUCUCCCAGAUGGAGCAGAAGCAUCCCUAAUAUUGUGGUCCACAGAAUCUCAGCUUCGUUACUUAACUCCGUGGCCGUCAUUGAAUCAUCUCCUCCCCGAGCCUCAGUUUCCCCAAGUCUUAAGCAGAGUGUAAGUAACAUCUACCCUGGAAACACUGUGUUCUUGGCUUUGCUUUUUGAGAGAUUUUAAUAAAAAGAAAAGCCAUUUAAAGUCAGACUCACA